GUAGGUGGCAAGCGUUGUCCGGGAAUUAUUGGGGCGUAAAGCGCGCGCAGGCGGUUCUUUAAGUCUGAUGUGAAAGCCCACGGGCUCAACCGUGGAGGGUCAUUGGAAACUGGAGAACUUGAGUACAGAAGAGGAAAGCGGAAUUCCACGUGUAGCGGUGAAAUGCGUAGAGAUGUGGAGGAACACCAGUGGCGAAGGCGGCUUUCUGGUCUGUAACUGACGCUGAGGCGCGAAAGCGUGGGGAGCAAACAGGAUUAGAUACCCUGGUGGUCCACGCCGUAAACGAUGAGUGCUAAGUGUUAGGGGGUUUCCGCCCCUUAGUGCUGCAGCUAACGCAUUAAGCACUCCGCCUGGGGAGUACGGCCGCAAAGGCUG
This 375-nucleotide ribosomal RNA is filed under the name uncultured organism. RNAcentral describes it as "partial 16S ribosomal RNA". It matches the Rfam family "Bacterial small subunit ribosomal RNA", at positions 527 to 896 of the family's 1533-position model. The record is from RNAcentral.